Molecule: ribosomal RNA, 571 nt
Filed under: uncultured bacterium
Lineage: Bacteria
Description: partial 16S ribosomal RNA
Rfam family: Bacterial small subunit ribosomal RNA
Source: RNAcentral
UGGGGAAUUUUGGACAAUGGGCGAAAGCCUGAUCCAGCAAUGCCGCGUGUGUGAAGAAGGCCUUCGGGUUGUAAAGCACUUUUGUCCGGAAAGAAAUCCUUGGCUCUAAUACAGUCGGGGGAUGACGGUACCGGAAGAAUAAGCACCGGCUAACUACGUGCCAGCAGCCGCGGUAAUACGUAGGGUGCAAGCGUUAAUCGGAAUUACUGGGCGUAAAGCGUGCGCAGGCGGUUUGCUAAGACCGAUGUGAAAUCCCCGGGCUCAACCUGGGAACUGCAUUGGUGACUGGCAGGCUAGAGUAUGGCAGAGGGGGGUAGAAUUCCACGUGUAGCAGUGAAAUGCGUAGAGAUGUGGAGGAAUACCGAUGGCGAAGGCAGCCCCCUGGGCCAAUACUGACGCUCAUGCACGAAAGCGUGGGGAGCAAACAGGAUUAGAUACCCUGGUAGUCCAGCGCCCUAAACGAUGUCAACUAGUUGUUGGGGAUUCAUUCCUUAGUAACGUAGCUAACGCGUGAAGUUGACCGCCUGGGGAGUACGGUCGCAAGAUUAAAACUCAAAUGAAUUGACGGGGU